Molecule: ribosomal RNA, 244 nt
Filed under: Salmonella enterica
Lineage: Bacteria; Pseudomonadati; Pseudomonadota; Gammaproteobacteria; Enterobacterales; Enterobacteriaceae
Description: partial 16S ribosomal RNA
Rfam family: Bacterial small subunit ribosomal RNA
Source: RNAcentral
GAAGAAGCACCGGCUAACUCCGUGCCAGCAGCCGCGGUAAUACGGAGGGUGCAAGCGUUAAUCGGAAUUACUGGGCGUAAAGCGCACGCAGGCGGUCUGUCAAGUCGGAUGUGAAAUCCCCGGGCUCAACCUGGGAACUGCAUUCGAAACUGGCAGGCUUGAGUCUUGUAGAGGGGGGUAGAAUUCCAGGUGUAGCGGUGAAAUGCGUAGAGAUCUGGAGGAAUACCGGUGGCGAAGGCGGCCC